GCCUGGGUGGCUCAGUUGGUUGAGCGUCCGACUUAGGCUCAGGUCACAAUCUCGUGGUCCGUGGGUUCGAGCCCCGCAUUGGGCU
RNAcentral lists this transfer RNA (85 nucleotides) under Felis catus (domestic cat). It matches the Rfam family "tRNA". From Rfam's summary of the family: Transfer RNA (tRNA) molecules are approximately 80 nucleotides in length. Their secondary structure includes four short double-helical elements and three loops (D, anti-codon, and T loops). Further hydrogen bonds mediate the characteristic L-shaped molecular structure. tRNAs have two regions of fundamental functional importance: the anti-codon, which is responsible for specific mRNA codon recognition, and the 3' end, to which the tRNAs corresponding amino acid is attached (by aminoacyl-tRNA synthetases). tRNAs cope with the degeneracy of the genetic code in two manners: having more than one tRNA (with a specific anti-codon) for a particular amino acid; and 'wobble' base-pairing, i.e. permitting non-standard base-pairing at the 3rd anti-codon position. The record is from Rfam by way of RNAcentral. Lineage: Eukaryota; Metazoa; Chordata; Mammalia; Carnivora; Felidae.